Molecule: long non-coding RNA, 418 nt
Organism: Bubalus bubalis (water buffalo)
Lineage: Eukaryota; Metazoa; Chordata; Mammalia; Artiodactyla; Bovidae
Exons: 2
Source: RefSeq, a predicted model, not a curated record
CUGAUUGCUCUCACGGGACUUGCAAUACUGCAUUGAAUACACGUGACAACGAUAGGCACCUUGUCUUGUUCCUGAUCUUAGAGAAAAGGCUUCAGCCUCUCGCCACUGAGUGUGAUGCUGUCUGUGGGUUUGUCACAUGUGGCCCUUCUUAUGUCGAGAAUAUCUUUUCCCCAGCUUUUCGCCUUCAGCCUACUGAGAGGUGGUGUACAAUGCUGCAGCUCCUUUGACUUCAACUGGAAGAAAUCGGAGGCACACAGUUUUGUACAGUUUUCUAGUAGUUUCUUGUAGAGUUAAACUCCAGUUACCUAGCGUUGACUCACCUGAUAUAUACCACUCACUGACUGCUUUCCCUUCCCUCAUCUUUUUCCCUUUUCCUAUAUAAGUGUUUCUUGCACUUUAAAAAUAAACUGCUUUGACA